Long non-coding RNA from Cyprinus carpio (common carp), 1143 nucleotides. Lineage: Eukaryota; Metazoa; Chordata; Actinopteri; Cypriniformes; Cyprinidae. The record is from Ensembl.
CAAAUGUCCAGAGGACGCCUGGCUUUUAUUAUAAGGCGAGGCGGUGCUCUACAGAUGACGGACAGCUGCGUCAGCCAAUAAAAGACGCGACGUCCAUUCCACGGCCAAUGGUUGCAUCGCGGGGGCGGGGCUAGCUCGCUGUUUUAUUCGCAGUCUCGCCGAGCAAGAGGAGAAUCCCAAAGAAAUGACAUCCAGCUUUUCCAGAAGAAACCGCGGCGCUUAGACACGCUCUCCUGAAGUUUCCCUCCUCACAUCAGCACGGAUUACAGCUCGUUCUUCAGAUAUGUAGUGAUUAGACUUCGGAAUGUGUGUUUAAUACAGAAGGACAGUGUUUUUCCACACGAUUCUGAUUCCAAACUCCCUCAGCUUCUAUUCGGACAUGUGUGAUUUAAUGCCAGCGGCUCAGCCGGCCGAGAAAAUCGGGAAAAUGAAGAAAUUAAGAAGAACUCUGUCGGAGAGCUUCAGUCGCAUCGCCUUCAAGAAAGAAGACAGCGGCUUUGACGAGGUGAGAGACACUGCGGACGCUUUCACUUUCAUGAUCGAGUGUUGAUAUAACCCUCGUGAGCCGUUAUUGAGAGACGCCUCGGCCGUGUUUGCUGCGGUCGUGUGCUGUCUGUGGUUUAAUGGAUUUCCCAGCGCUCUGACUGUCACAGGAGCAGUGCAUGCUGGGAUGUGUGGGUCUCUGGGGUUGAAGUGUCAGCUGUGAUCAUCGGAGAGAUGCUUCAUUGUUCUCCGUUGCGUCUUUCAGUUCCGUUCGCUCUGGAAACAGGCCUCGAGUGACACACAAACGCUCGGCAGGAAGACGAAACCUCACCCUUUUUACUCUCUUACAGCCGUUACUCAGUGCUUAUUGAUCAUUUAUUCCCAGAGUAACAUUUUAAGGACAUUUGAAAUAUCCUUAUGCAGUUUUGCCGUGUUCUGAGAAGACAAACUUUAAAACCAAAUUUCUUAAAAAUAUAAUCAAAAGCAAAAUCAUUGUGUAUUCAGUCAUCGAAGCUUGGAUUUAGUGCAUGCUGUUAAACAUUCAAAACUACUAUUUUUUUAAAUUUAAUAUUAUAUAUAUAUAUGUGUGUGUGUGUGUGUGUGUGUUAAAAACAAACAAAAAAAAAAUCUAAUAAAAUAUACAUAAUAUAUAUUAUUACA